UCCCUGGUGGCUCAGAGGUUAAAGCGUCUGCCUACAAGGCGGGAGACCCAGGUUCAAUCCCUGGGUCGGGAA
This is a non-coding RNA of Bos taurus (domestic cattle), 72 nucleotides long. NCBI's taxonomy places the organism in Eukaryota, Metazoa, Chordata, Mammalia, Artiodactyla, Bovidae. The record is from Rfam.